This 551-nucleotide ribosomal RNA is filed under the name uncultured Acaulospora. RNAcentral's name for it is "SSU rRNA". It matches the Rfam family "Eukaryotic small subunit ribosomal RNA", at positions 548 to 1098 of the family's 1831-position model. Lineage: Eukaryota; Fungi; Glomeromycota; Glomeromycetes; Diversisporales; Acaulosporaceae. The record is from RNAcentral.
UUGGAGGGCAAGUCUGGUGCCAGCAGCCGCGGUAAUUCCAGCUCCAAUAGCGUAUAUUAAAGUUGUUGCAGUUAAAAAGUUCGUAGUUGAAUUUCGGAGUUUGUCGGUCGGUCGGGCUUCACUGUCCGCACUGGCCUGACGGAUUCCUACCUUCUGAAUAACCAGCAUGCUAUUAAGUUAGUGCGUUGGGGAAGCAGAGCUAUUACCUUGAAAAAAUUAGAGUGCUUAAAGCAGGCUUAUGCUUGAAUAGAUUAGCAUGGAAUAAUAAAAUAGGACGGCAUGGUUCUAUUUUGUUGGUUUCUAGGAUCACCGUAAUGAUUAAUAGGGAUAGUUGGGGGCAUUAGUAUUCAAUUGUCAGAGGCGAAAUUCUUGGACUUAUUGAAGACUAACUUCUGCGAAAGCAUUUGCCAAGGAUGUUUUCAUUAAUCAAGAACGAAAGUUAGGGGAUCGAAGACGAUCAGAUACCGUCGUAGUCUUAACCAUAAACUAUGCCGACUAGGGAUCGGACGAUGUUAAUUUUUUAAUGACUCGUUCGGCGCCUUACGGGAAAC